RNAcentral lists this long non-coding RNA (763 nucleotides) under Homo sapiens (human). RNAcentral describes it as "non-protein coding lnc-SLC2A14-4:1". The record is from RNAcentral. Lineage: Eukaryota; Metazoa; Chordata; Mammalia; Primates; Hominidae.
AGAGAUGCUGUAAUGGUAAGACUUUGGAUCCUUCCUGAGGACGUGGAGAAAACUUGCUGCUGAGAAGGACAUUUUGAAGGUUUUGUUGGCUGAAAAAGCUGUUUCUGGAAUCACCCCUAGAUCUUUCUUGAAGACUUGAAUUAGAUUACAGCGAUGGGGACACAGAAGGUCACCCCAGCUCUGAUAUUUGCCAUCACAGUUGCUACAAUCGGCUCUUUCCAAUUUGGCUACAACACUGGGGUCAUCAAUGCUCCUGAGAAGAUCAUAAAGGAAUUUAUCAAUAAAACUUUGACGGACAAGGGAAAUGCCCCACCCUCUGAGGUGCUGCUCACGUCUCUCUGGUCCUUGUCUGUGGCCAUAUUUUCCGUCGGGGGUAUGAUCGGCUCCUUUUCCGUCGGACUCUUCGUCAACCGCUUUGGCAGGUAUUGACUAGAAACUGGGCAAGGAAGUGGGCUCUACCAGCCACAUUGAGGACAAGUGUGGAGAGUUAGGGCAGGGAGGUGAUGAUGCCUUUGAAUAAGAACACCUUGAAUUCUAAUCAAGGGAAACCUAGUCCAACUGGCCCCGAAUAUGACUGCCCUUGCUUGGAGCUCUACUACCCUGGAGAGCUCCCACCCAGCUGUGCAAGAGAUGAACUGUGAGUGAUUGGCCUUUGCAGUCCAGCUAGGGAUAGUUCAGAAUUAUUCCCUAGUAAACUCAACUAUGGGGUUUCUAGAAACAUACUUAAUUUACAAGGUCCGAAGUUGUUUACUUGUAUUAUAAA